GACCUUCUAUUACCCAGUCUUUGAACAUUGGAAAUCCUUACCUACUGUGUGGUUUCUGAAUUGCAGUUUCUGUGAUUGACACCAAGUGUGGUCACUGUCCUCCAGCCAAUGUCUUGGUUGGGAGGAGAUCCGCGAGCAGGACCUAAUGCAGUGUUUUUUUAUCCUUCCUAGGACGGCCUUAGCCCGAUUUCGCCAAGCUCAAUUGGAAGAGGGAAAAGUGAAGGUCGGUGUCAAUCUUCCUCAUUUUCUGCUAAACAUACCUCAAGACCAGAUGCAGGGAAACUCCUUCCUGGGCGGACUUUGAACUCCAGAUCUUCCUGCCUGCACUUGGCUGAUAUGCGAAAAAGAGUCUAUACACUUGAGCUAGGUGCCCUGGCCCACGUGUGUAAUCUUGGCGAUUUGGGAGGCUGAGGCAGGAGGAUCACAAGUUUCGAGGCCAGCCUCUGCAACUGAGAGAGAGAGAGAGAGAAAGAGCCCAUCUCAAAAUAAACAAAUAAAUGAAUAAAUAAAAUAAAAAAUAUGUUUUGAGACAUCCUGAAAAGUCUGGGGAUGAAGUUCAGUGGUAAAGUGCUCCUGGAUUCUACCCCUCAUACUGCAAAAAAAAAAAAUAAAUAAAAUAAAUC
Molecule: long non-coding RNA, 623 nt
Filed under: Marmota monax (woodchuck)
Lineage: Eukaryota; Metazoa; Chordata; Mammalia; Rodentia; Sciuridae
Source: RNAcentral